GUUAACUUUUAGAAAGUAUUCUCGCACCGUAUAAAUACAUCUCAUUUUUCUCUGUUUUGUCAGUAGUUGUUUUUGGUAUUAUUCGUGCAACGUGGAAGCUAACUUAGUGGUUUGGUGUUCGUACAAAAAAGCAGUCCUAAAGAUCAUCUUAGUACUCUCAACCCGUAACCGCAAAUAGAAUAGCAGCCAAUCUUAAGCAUGGACUUAAGUCAACUGAAUCAAACCUGUCUUGCAGAAGGUGAUUUUGAGCAGCCGAUUGUCAAACUGCAUGAAUUGCCGAUAGGCGUUCCGUUUAAAAUUACUAGAGCCAAAAUUGUUAAUACAAAAUUUGGCAAUUCCGUGUUGCUGCAAUUAGAAAAUUCCGUAGUAUUUCUUCCUACUCGCGUGACAGAAGCUUUCCGUCCGAGACUAGAACACUUUGCGUCGGGGCAGUACAAACUGGUCUACGAGGGAUCCAAAGAUAUUGGAAAGCCCAACUCUUUAAAGAAAUUCAAAAUAAUUCAAAAUUAAUCAACAUAUUAUACAGGAUUAUGGUCAAACAACUUACAUUAGAAAGCCUUUGUAUUAUAACAAUUUGCGAAAAUAUUAGGUGUAGUGCUGAUUUUUUGCUUGAGUCACCUUUGCCUUGGAAACUAACGAUACUAAUAUUUAAAUAUUAUUCGAAAUAUAGAUGGAAGUACCUUAAACAAUUAGCGCUCCAGUCUGAUGGCAAUUCUUUAUUAAAUUUAGAAUUCAUUCUGUUGAAUAAGAGAUUUGGAUCGUCUUACAGAAAUAGCAUUUUGGCAACUCCAACCAUUGAUUUUGACGGAGAAUCCGCUUACUGUUUAUGGGUCAGUUAUUACAGGAUAAAAUAUUCGGAAAUUUUAGUUUGUAAAUCUUGUCACUUUAUAUUUCAACUAGUUAAAAAAUUUAAAAAGAAAAAUUUUAGACUUUUAUUGGAUCACUAUCAUUUACAGCUGGAUAUAAAUAAUUUGAAUGAUGUAUAUCACGAUAAACAAUUUUGGUGUCAAAGCUGCUUUGAAGAAGUUUUGUUCACUGUAGAAACUGAAGAUGAAUGUAAUUUAAUGCUUCACGAUGAGAGGAAAUAUGGAAAAAAGUUACGCUUUUCUGAUAGUCCAUUGAACUAUUAAUACUGUGGUUUUAUUAUAACAUAUGUAACUGUAGAUAAGACUUUUAUGUAUUGAUUGUAUUCCAUUGUAUUGCAACAAGAAUAAACAUGUAUAUAUUUA
Cylas formicarius (sweet potato weevil) is the source of this 1229-nucleotide long non-coding RNA. RefSeq lists it as uncharacterized. Lineage: Eukaryota; Metazoa; Arthropoda; Insecta; Coleoptera; Brentidae. The record is from RefSeq and is a predicted model, not a curated record. The transcript is spliced from 4 exons.